This 497-nucleotide ribosomal RNA is filed under the name uncultured bacterium. RNAcentral describes it as "partial 16S ribosomal RNA". It matches the Rfam family "Bacterial small subunit ribosomal RNA", at positions 28 to 507 of the family's 1533-position model. The record is from RNAcentral.
GAUGAACGCUGGCGGCGUGCCUAAUACAUGCAAGUCGAGCGAACAGACGAGGAGCUUGCUCCUCUGACGUUAGCGGCGGACGGGUGAGUAACACGUGGAUAACCUACCUAUAAGACUGGGAUAACUUCGGGAAACCGGAGCUAAUACCGGAUAAUAUAUUGAACCGCAUGGUUCAAUAGUGAAAGACGGUUUUGCUGUCACUUAUAGAUGGAUCUGCGCCGCAUUAGCUAGUUGGUAAGGUAACGGCUUACCAAGGCAAUGAUGCGUAGCCGACCUGAGAGGGUGAUCGGCCACACUGGAACUGAGACACGGUCCAGACUCCUACGGGAGGCAGCAGUAGGGAAUCUUCCGCAAUGGGCGAAAGCCUGACGGAGCAACGCCGCGUGAGUGAUGAAGGUCUUCGGAUCGUAAAACUCUGUUAUUAGGGAAGAACAAAUGUGUAAGUAACUAUGCACGUCUUGACGGUACCUAAUCAGAAAGCCACGGCUAACUACGUG